Molecule: unclassified non-coding RNA, 309 nt
Filed under: fungal sp.
Lineage: Eukaryota; Fungi
Description: partial internal transcribed spacer region
Rfam family: Eukaryotic small subunit ribosomal RNA (bases 1-46)
Source: RNAcentral
AAGUCGUAACAAGGUAACCGUAGGUGAACCUGCGGUUGGAUCAUUAAUAAAAUAAAAAAUUUGGGACCAAAAAAAAGAGUAAUCCUCCCAAAAAGAGGUUCUUUUUUUUUUGGUUUUCAAAACAUCUUUGUGAACUGUUUAUCGUUUUUGGUGGGUUUAAAGAAAGAGUUUUUUUUUUUAAAAAUCUCUGGGAGGUAAUACUCAACCCACCGCUUUAUAUUCAAACUUUGUAUUAUUUUUUUUUGCCUUUAAAAUUUAAAAUUUAUUAUAAUUUUAAAACAACUUUUGACAACGGAUCUCUAGGCUCUC